CACGUAGGCGGAUAGGUUAGUCAGAUGUGAAAUCCCGGAGCUCAACUCCGGAACUGCAUUUGAUACUGCCUGUCUUGAGUGUGGUAGAGGGGGGUGGAAUUCCCGGUGUAGAGGUGAAAUUCGUAGAUAUCGGGAGGAACACCAGAGGCGAAGGCGACCCCCCUGGGCCACUACUGACGCUGAGGUGCGAAAGCGUGGGGGAGCAAACA
RNAcentral lists this ribosomal RNA (209 nucleotides) under uncultured bacterium. Its description in RNAcentral is "partial 16S ribosomal RNA". It matches the Rfam family "Bacterial small subunit ribosomal RNA", at positions 568 to 774 of the family's 1533-position model. The record is from RNAcentral.